ACCCACUAUGCUGGUACCAA
This 20-nucleotide unclassified non-coding RNA is filed under the name Mus musculus (house mouse). RNAcentral describes it as "oocyte_clustered_small_RNA11128". The record is from RNAcentral. Lineage: Eukaryota; Metazoa; Chordata; Mammalia; Rodentia; Muridae.